Molecule: long non-coding RNA, 7596 nt
Organism: Myxocyprinus asiaticus (Chinese sucker)
Lineage: Eukaryota; Metazoa; Chordata; Actinopteri; Cypriniformes; Catostomidae
Exons: 4
Source: RefSeq, a predicted model, not a curated record
GCGAGUGCUGUUGCUCUUUUCACCUGUAAGCUCUAUUUAUGCUAACAAAGUUGUAACUUGUGGUGAAAUUGUACUUGUUUAACGAGUAAAUUAUAUUUCAGGGUUGUUGUUAUUACGUCAUAUAUUCGGUCGUUAGACAAUAGUAUGAAGUAUGUCCGGAAUGUAUUCAUACUAUUCACCUGCAUGCCUAAAGUAUGUACUUUUUUACCGACAGAGAAGUAUGUUCUGUGACAUCUGAGGCUGCUGUUUCUCCUCCAGCCCACCAGAGGGAGCCCUUGCCCGAAUAUUUGCUCAGAGAAACCUUUAAUCCUUAGCUCGCUUCACCGGGAGUGUAUUCCAGAAAGCAGGUUAUGCAACAUACCUGGGUAAGUUUACGGAUAAGUUAACGGAUAACCUCAGCUUUCGGUUCCAAAAACGGAGGUAACUUUCAGGGUAUGUUAGUAGCCAUAGCAACUUAAUCUCUGAACAAAACCUGCUCCAGAGUAGGUUAUGUUCCAGAGUUAGUUUAUUUCAGGUAGAUGUUAGUAUGUUUCAGAGGCUGUCAGCGCAUGUGUGCCCUUUUAAUAGCGGCACAGUGGCCAAGAAAGUUCAGAUUACGCACAAUAUUAUACUUUUAAAGCAAUAUUACGGUAAACUGCAAUCUUUACCUCACAAAUCUUUUCUCCAGCAUUUCCAGUCUCACACUGCAGAUUUGCAUUCAAAAGUGAACAAACUGUGUACAUUGUGCUUUAACUUUUAAUAUUUUUUAAUGCAGAACACAUUGUAAAGUCCCCCACGCUCUUCACUGUGAAGACAGGGCUUUAUGUAUUUAUAUUUAGCCCUUCUAAUAAAUCAUUUUUAUUCUAUAAAUUUCAUAGAAUAAAAUUAUUAUAGCACCCACAUUCUAUUUACAGUUCCUUCAGUCAAUGAAUAUUAAUGUUAUUUAUAAAAUGACAUUCCAUAGUAUCAAUAUGUAGGUAAUGUCUGCCAAUUAAAAGCUUAAGCAAUUAAUCACUCGUUAUUCUUCUUCAUUAACUAGAUAAUAUGUGAUAAUUUCACAGACCACAGAUUAGAGAUUUUAUUUCUUAUCACUCUAAUUCAUGUAGGCUACGGUACAUAUAAAUGCACACAUUUCCAGACUUGUACAUUACUCUAUUAUCUGAAAAUAUAAAUGAGACAUGCUGUCAUUUAGAGUCACCCACAGUACCCUCAUUUAGCUGGUGGUUAGGUGAUUCAAAAGAUGUAUCUUUCUGAUGCUCAGCCUCCUCUACUCCAUCAGAAACUGUACAUGAUCCAUCUCUAAAUUACAUUUUUUGUUUUGCAUUUCAAUAGGAACCUUUUACAGCUUCCUGUUAACAAGGAAGAGAUGAGUUACUUUUCCCUAAUGCUGAGAUCAUGAACAUCUAUAAUGUAUAGUCAGACACAUGAUCUUCAAUUAAAACAACAUAAUUUCAUUACCAAGUUGGUGGAGGCAGAUGGACCCAACUGUACAUGACAACACAACAUGACAAGUUUUAAUGCCACAUCAAAUGAGAAAAGAACACAAUGGACAUGUAACUCCUAUCACUCUCCACCUCUGUUACAGCAGAUCUUCAUCUUAUAAUGCACACAAAUAAUCAUGUGUGGCCUACUAAAAAACAUUACAUUAAAUCAAUGGAAAAUGAUGACAACUGUGGGAGAUCCUACAACUGAAAGAGGGUCUAUUAAUACAAUGAGACCAUCAGCAACUGUGGGAAAUUAAAGGUGAUAUGAUUCUAAGUUUUUGAAACCCCAACUGGGUACAUCAAAUGGUAUUAAAAAUAAAGGAAAUACAUUCAGUUCACAUGACAGUAAAAUAAAAUUAGCGUGCAUAGAUCAUGGUAAAUACCAUUAAAAUUCAUCUUAAAAUAAAAUAUAUAUAAAACCUAUAGCCUAUUAUCAUAAUAUUAAUAGAAUAUGAAUGUUAAUACUUAUAAUAAAGUUCAUUGCAAACAAAGAACGUAAUGGUCGACCUAUUAAACAUUAAUGUAGUUGAGAGAGGUCUAAUAUUAAUGUUGAAUUAAGCUUUUAUGUACUGUAGAACUUUUAGUUUUAUUCAUUAAAAAAUUCACGCAAUGAUUCAGUAUAAUUUCUGUCAAGCAAACUCUCAGUCCUAAACCAAUGUAGCUCCUAUCGCUAUUACGAGUGAAGAUGAAGUAAUGCUCGUUUGCAGUCAUUAAAACUUAAUGUUCUGCUUCACCAAAAUAUGGCGCGCCUUUCUUCUUAGCGUCUGUUUCCAUGGUGACUCGUGGAUUUUUUUUUUCGACACAAACUACGAAGCUUCGGUGUUGACCUUUUGCCUGUAGAUUUGGAUUUGUCUUCUGAAUUAAUCUGACUGUUUGGACUUUGACCCUGGCCUGUUAUAUUGACUACUCUUUUGGCUUUUGCACUGUAACUUCACAUGUUUUUAAUAAACUUAUGCAAAUGGAUUCUACAACUCCAAGUUAAGCGUCUUUGUUACAUUUUCAAAGAAUAUAUUUUGAAUAUGUGUAUUAUUCUCACCCCAUUGGGAAAUUUGAUUGCUGUAAACAUAAACAUAUCCUUAGGCAAUUUUGCUUCUCAAUUAAAAUGAUAUCUUUAAAUGAUUUUUAAAGAUAUCAUUUUAAGGAUGUUUUAUAUAUUGGGUAUAUAACGUUGCUUUAUGCAACAUGUAAGGUUAUUUUUUGUUUUAUUAUACCAAAACACUGCUGAACAGCAACUGUAUUUUUCGAGUUUUUCAAAGACUACAAUAAUUGCGAUUAGGGUUAGGAUUAAGUAGGAAUGUUGUGGGGAUUUUAUGUACAUGCUGUACUGUACUGCCAGUCUGCAGCUGUACGGUAGCAUCAGAGCAAAACAGAUUAAUAUUUAUUUGAACCAUGGUCAAAAAAAUCCUUGCUGUCAUUGAAAGCAUACAUCCUCUGUAUAAUGGCCUAUGAUAACACCAUACAUUUUUAUUCUAAAGGUGGUAUUCAAUAAAAAGCAUUUAUAAUCAUUUUGUUCAGUUUAUAACUUGUCCAUUUGAAGUUGACAAUUCGGACACACCAGUAAAAGAGUGUGUACUCAGUAAAGAGUUUGUGGACGGUGCGCACAUAUUUACAGCACAUUUAUUUUUUAUUAAUCACAAUGUGUGUGUGGGAAAUUGCGUAUGCACGUUUCAAUGCCCAUUUUGUGCAUCCACAACAUUAAUUCAUCAAGGGCAUCAUACGUAAGUUCUAACUAACUUCGACUAGUUUUGUAUAAAUGGACACUAAGUUGCCAUUUACGCACUACUAAAUAUUUGAGCGUUGCACAAUUAAACUUAGUGUCACUUUCCCAGACAGUCAGUCUGGUUUUGUGCUGUGUGUGUGUUUCCCUCACCAUCAUGUGUUUACAGGUGCCUCAUAGCAGACAAUAGCAGUGUCUCCACGGGAACCCUCGUUCACACCAUUGCUUUUCUCUAGUCGCUGUUCUGCCAGUCAGAUACACCGUGCUUGGUUCAUGUGGAUUAUCUUGUGGAUUUAUAAUUACCUCUCGCUAUCCGGGUGCCCCAGGCAGACUUACCUUCUUCACCUCUGUCCUCCUGCUGCAGCCUAUGCCUGGUUAAUGAACUGUUUCCCUGUUUGCCUUGUGUGCUUCAAUAAAAAACAUUGACUGUCAUUCUCUGCAUUUGGGUCCUCACUUUCAGAAGUGUGACAUAAUAAUCCAGCCAACUUUGACCCAGCGGAGUAAUCUCAACAAGGGGCUCUGCUUCGUGUCAUCAGGAUCAAAUCUCUGGCCUGGACUAAGCAAUGGAAGCGGUGGAACAGCAGAUAGCUGAGUUAUCCUCGAUGGUUCAACAACUCCAUCUGACUCCCGAUUCCGGUUCCACCACUGAAGCUGUUUCUUCUACCCGUCGGUCGCUGCCUAUUCGUGGCGAUUGAACCCACCAUCUUCAUAUUCUGCGCCCCGUGUUAAUCUUCCUGAGUCUUCUGUGGAGGGCGAGCCCAUACCAUUUGGGAGAAAGGGGUUACUGGUGAGCGUGACUCCACUGGAUAAAUCCCCUGGAUCUUGCUCCUUCCUUCCAGCCAGGCUGCAGUGAGGCACCAUCUCUCAUCAGUGCUCAGCUUUAGGGGAUUUGUGAGCCGAUGGAAACUUCAUAGAAGUCAAAAUAGCCACUCGCUGAGGAUUACCUACCAUCUGUCUCGAAGAUCCUAUCUCAACCAGGAAAUAUUAUUUCUUCUCAUCAAGUCACCCUCUGCACUCGUGGUCCUGGGGCUCCCAUGGCUGGAUAAACAUAAUCCCCAUAUUUGCUGGGGAUAAAUUGGUGGACUUAACUGGGGUUCCUUAAGAGCAGUGUUCAGCAAGUCCCUCCUCACCACGCUCACCAGUAACCCCUUUACUAUUGAGAGGAGGUCAUGGCUAAGUAUAUCAAAGAGUAUCAGCAGCCAGUCUCAUCCAUUCUUCCUCGUCCCCAGCAGUGGCAGUGGGGGUGUGGUCGAGCAUUCGUCCGGAGAGAAAGGAAGCGGUAAGGGUGCAUACUCCUGAGCCAGAUAAUGAUUAACACCUGUUUCCAAUUGCAGUGAGCUUGGGGAGAGUGGUAUAAAAGAGACUACGCCAGCAGCAAAAGACAGAGAGAGUCAAGGACAAAGAGUCCUGUUGUGAAGCUGUUGUGUUAUUGUGAAGCUGAAAAGCUGAUGUAAUAUUGUGAAGCUGUAAAGCGCUGAAGUUUAUUAAUUAAAAGCCAUACCUGAUAACAAGUAGUAGGGAAGUAGUAAGGCCAGGAGGUCCUCGGAGCGCUCAUUCCUAGAUGAGUUUUGCCGACGUGCAGCGCUACUCCGCGUCGACCAGUGGGUCCCCCGAAGACAACCAGAGGUGUCCCCGAGCGACUGCGCCCCAUGGUGGCCACGCUACGAGCGUUCAAAAACUUUCCUUGCAGUUCUGCAGCCGACUGCUGGGUGGCGCCACCACGUCCCACCGCAGGCUUAUUGUAGUGGGAUCCCUCUCCAUUCAAAUAAACCACAGGUGGGCUCUUUUUUUGGGGAAGGUGGGGGCUGACCAUGAAAACCCUAUAAGCCCAAAUGCCCACUAUAUUGCUUCACUUCCUCUUGGGGGUGCCAAGGACUGCCCCCACGACCCACGGAGCCACUAAACUGCCCCUUACCAGCUAUUUUGGGGAAAAAGCCCACGGAAGCGAGCCUUUGAUUGGCCGACCACUGGGGCGUGUCCGGGAGGGGGCGGGGCUUACCGCGAACACACUAUUUGUCCCCUUUGACCAUGUUAAAAUAUUUAUGACUUGCAAGUGGGUGCAGUAGCAAUUAAAUUAACUUAUGAUAUGACAGUGGUAGAUCUAAUCACUGACAAUGAUGAAUCAGCCUACAGAGAGGAGGUGCACACUCUGACAUGCUGUCACCACCAACAUACUAAAUGUCCAUUUCCAAUUUAUUGUAUUGGUCUAUUGUGUCCACCAACAUAUUAAAUGUCCAUUUCCAAUUUAUUGUAUUGAUGUGUUCACACUAAGUCCACCAACAUACUAAAGGUCCAUUUCCAAUUUAUUGUAUUGGUCAAUUAUCCCUGUGUCCACCAACAUACUAAAGGUCCAUUUUCAAAUUAUUGUAUUGGUAUAUUGUGUCCACCAACAUAUUAAAUGUCCAUUUCCAAUUUAUUGUAUUGAUGUAUUUACUCUAAGUCUAUCAACAUACUAAAGGUCCAAGUGAGCCUUUGAUUGGCCGACCACUGGGGCGUGUCCACGGGGGGCUGGGCUGACCACGAACACACUAUUUGUCCACCUUCCCACUAUAUUACAGGACUUUGUCCCUGGGGGUCCACGGACCCCGGGGGUGUGUCCGGGAGGGGGCGGGGCUGACCAAGAACACACUAUUUGUCCACCUUCCCACUAUAUUACAAGACUUUGUCCCUGGAGGACCACGGACCCCUGGAGUGUAUCCAGUAGGGGACGGGGCUGACCACAAUACAACUAUUUGUCCAUUUACCCACUAAAUUGAACAACUUUCUCAAUGUUGGUCUGAGGACCCUCUGUGUGUGUCCGGGAGGCAGUGGGUCUGUCCAAGGACAAAUUAUUUGUCCCCUGUGACCACGUUAAAAUAUUUAUGACUUGCAAGUGGGUGCAGUAGCAAUUAAAUUCACUUAUGGUAAGACAGUGGUAGAUCUAAUCACUGACAAUGAUGAAACAGCCUACAGAGAGGAGGUGCACACUCUGACACGCUGUCACCACCAACAUACCAAAUGUCCAUUUCCAAUUUAUUGUAUUGGUCUAUUGUGUCCACCAACAUAGUAAAUGUCCAUUUCCAAUUUAUUGUAUUGGUCUAUUACCCCUGUGUCCACCAAAAUAAUAAAUGUCCAUUUCCAAUUUAUUGAAUUGGUCUAUUACCCCUGUGUCCACCAACAUACUAAAGGUCCAUUUUCAAUUUAUUGUAUUGGUAUAUUGUGUCCACCAACAUAUUAAAUGUCCAUUUCCAAUUUAUUGUAUUGGUCUAUUACCCCUGUGUCCACCAAAAUAAUAAAUGUCCAUUUCCAAUUUAUUGAAUUGGUCUAUUACCCCUGUGUCCAUCAACAUACUAAAGGUCCAUUUCCAAUUUAUUAUAUUGGUCUAUUACCCCUGUGUCCACCAACAUACUAAAGGUCCAUUUCCAAUUUAUUGUAUUGGUCUAUUGUGUCCACCAACAAAAUAAAUGUCCAUUUCUAAUUUAUUGGAUUGAUGUGUUCACUCUAAGCCACCAACAUACUAAAGGUCCAUUUCCAAUUUAUUGUAUUGGUCUAUUGUGUCCACCAACAUAAUAAAUGUCCAUUUCCAAUUUAUUGUAUUAGUCUAUUACCCCUGUGUCCACCAACAUACUAAAGGUCCAUUUUCAAUUUAUUGUAUUGGUCUAUUGUGUCCAUCAACACACUAAAGGUCCAUUUCCAAUUUAUUGUAUUGGUCUAUUGUGUUCACCAACAUACUAAAGGUCCAUUUCCAAUUUAUUAUAUUGGUCUUUACCCCUGUGUUCACCAACAAAAUAAAUGUCCAUUUCCAAUUUAUUGUAAUGGUAUAUUACCCCUGUGUCCACAAACAUACUAAAGGUCCAUUUUCAAUUUAUUAUAUUGGUCUAUUACCCUAAGUCCACCAACAUACUAAAUGUCCAUUUACAAUUUAUUGUAUAGGUGUAUUACCCCUGUGUCCACAACAUACUAAAUGUUAAUUUCGAAAUUAUUGUAUUGGUGUAUUAACACUAAGUCCACCAACAUACUAAAUGUCCAUUUUCAAUUUAUUGUAUUGGUCUAUUGUGUCAACCAACAUAUUAAAUGUACAUUUUCAAUUGAUUGUAUUGGUCUAUUACCCUAAAUCCACCAACAUACUAAAUGUCCAUUUCCAAUUUAUUGUAUUGGUGUAUUGUGUCCACCAAAAUACCAAAUGUCCAUUUUCAGUUUAUUGUAUUGGUGUAAUAACCCUAGUCCACCAACAUACUAAAUGUCCAUUUUCAAUUUAUUGUAUUGGUGUAAUAACCCUAGUCCACCAACAUACUAAAUGUCCAUUUUCAAUUUAUUGUAUAGGUCUAUUACCCCUAAGUCCACCAACAUACUAAAUGUCCAUUUCCAAUUUAUUUUAUAGGUGUAUUAACCCUGAGACAAAAUAUUUGACUUUCUCCUCUCAAAAUUCACACCAAA